AUUGAACGCUGGCGGCAGGCCUAACACAUGCAAGUCGAGCGGAUGAAGGGAGCUUGCUCCUGGAUUCAGCGGCGGACGGGUGAGUAAUUCCUAGGAAUCUGCCUGGUAGUGGGGGAUAACGUCCGGAAACGGGCGCUAAUACCGCAUACGUCCUGAGGGAGAAAGUGGGGGAUCUUCGGACCUCACGCUAUCAGAUGAGCCUAGGUCGGAUUAGCUAGUUGGUGGGGUAAAGUCCUACCAAGGCGACGAUCCGUAACUGGUCUGAGAGGAUGAUCAGUCACACUGGAACUGAGACACGGUCCAGACUCCUACGGGAGGCAGCAGUGGGGAAUAUUGGACAAUGGGCGAAAGCCUGAUCCAGCCAUGCCGCGUGUGUGAAGAAGGUCUUCGGAUUGUAAAGCACUUUAAGUUGGGAGGAAGGGCAGUAAGUUAAUACCUUGCUGUUUUGACGUUACCAACAGAAUAAGCACCGGCUAACUUCGUG
Molecule: ribosomal RNA, 484 nt
Filed under: uncultured bacterium
Lineage: Bacteria
Description: partial 16S ribosomal RNA
Rfam family: Bacterial small subunit ribosomal RNA
Source: RNAcentral